AUAGGGGAGCCGAAGGGAAACCGAGUCUUAACCGGGCGUUAAGUUGCAGGGUAUAGACCCGAAACCCGGUGAUCUAGCCAUGGGCAGGUUGAAGGUUGGGUAACACUAACUGGAGGACCGAACCGACUAAUGUUGAAAAAUUAGCGGAUGACUUGUGGCUGGGGGUGAAAGGCCAAUCAAACCGGGAGAUAGCUGGUUCUCCCCGAAAGCUAUUUAGGUAGCGCCUCGUGAACUCAUCUUCGGGGGUAGAGCACUGUUUCGGCUAGGGGGUCAUCCCGACUUACCAACCCGAUGCAAACUGCGAAUACCGAAGAAUGUUAUCACGGGAGACACACGGCGGGUGCUAACGUCCGUCGUGAAGAGGGAAACAACCCAGACCGCCAGCUAAGGUCCCAAAGUCACAGUUAAGUGGGAAACGAUGUGGGAAGGCUCAGACAGCCAGGAUGUUGGCUUAGAAGCAGCCAUCAUUUAAAGAAAGCGUAAUAGCUCACUGGUCGAGUCGGCCUGCGCGGAAGAUGUAACGGGGCUAAACUGUGCACCGAAGCUGCGGCAGCGACGCUUAUGCGUUGUUGGGUAGGGGAGCGUUCUGUAAGCCUGCGAAGGUGUCCUGUGAGGGAUGCUGGAGGUAUCAGAAGUGCGAAUGCUGACAUAAGUAACGAUAA
RNAcentral lists this ribosomal RNA (662 nucleotides) under Salmonella enterica. RNAcentral's name for it is "partial 23S ribosomal RNA". It matches the Rfam family "Bacterial large subunit ribosomal RNA", at positions 657 to 1315 of the family's 2925-position model. Lineage: Bacteria; Pseudomonadati; Pseudomonadota; Gammaproteobacteria; Enterobacterales; Enterobacteriaceae. The record is from RNAcentral. RNAcentral also lists the same sequence under 1 other name.